GGGGAAUAUUGGACAAUGGGCGCAAGCCUGAUCCAGCCAUGCCGCGUGAGUGAUGAAGGUCUUAGGAUUGUAAAAUUCUUUCACCGGGGACGAUAAUGACGGUGCCCGGAGAAGAAGCCCCGGCUAACUUCGUGCCAGCAGCCGCGGUAAUACGAAGGGGGCUAGCGUUGCUCGGAAUUACUGGGCGUAAAGGGAGCGUAGGCGGAUAGUUUAGUCAGAGGUGAAAGCCCAGGGCUCAACCUUGGAAUUGCCUUUGAUACUGGCUAUCUUGAGUAUGGGAGAGGUAUGUGGAACUCCGAGUGUAGAGGUGAAAUUCGUAGAUAUUCGGAAGAACACCAGUGGCGAAGGCGACAUACUGGCCCAUUACUGACGCUGAGGCUCGAAAGCGUGGGGAGCAAA
This 399-nucleotide ribosomal RNA is filed under the name uncultured bacterium. RNAcentral describes it as "bacterial SSU rRNA". It matches the Rfam family "Bacterial small subunit ribosomal RNA", at positions 356 to 772 of the family's 1533-position model. The record is from RNAcentral.